AACGAACGCUGGCGGCAGGCUUAACACAUGCAAGUCGAACGGGCGUAGCAAUACGUCAGUGGCAGACGGGUGAGUAACACGUGGGAAUAUCCCUCUCAGUUCGGAAUAACUCAGGGAAACUUGAGCUAAUACCGGAUACGUCCUUCGGGAGAAAGAUUUAUCGCUGAGAGAUUAGCCCGCGUCUGAUUAGCUAGUUGGUGAGGUAAUGGCUCACCAAGGCGACGAUCAGUAGCUGGUCUGAGAGGAUGAUCAGCCACACUGGGACUGAGACACGGCCCAGACUCCUACGGGAGGCAGCAGUGGGGAAUAUUGGACAAUGGGGGCAACCCUGAUCCAGCCAUGCCGCGUGAGUGAUGAAGGCCUUAGGGUUGUAAAGCUCUUUUGCCAGGGAAGAUAAUGACUGUACCUGGAGAAUAAGCCCCGGCUAACUUCGUGCCAGCAGCCGCCGUAA
RNAcentral lists this ribosomal RNA (451 nucleotides) under uncultured bacterium. RNAcentral's name for it is "partial 16S ribosomal RNA". It matches the Rfam family "Bacterial small subunit ribosomal RNA", at positions 29 to 523 of the family's 1533-position model. The record is from RNAcentral.